AUUGAGCGCUGGCGGCAUGCCUUACACAUGCAAGUCGAACGGUAACAGGUCUUCGGAUGCUGACGAGUGGCGAACGGGUGAGUAAUACAUCGGAACGUGCCUAGUAGUGGGGGAUAACUACUCGAAAGAGUGGCUAACACCGCAUGAGAUCUACGGAUGAAAGCAGGGGAUCGAAAGACCUUGUGCUACUAGAGCGGCCGAUGGCAGAUGAGGUAGUUGGUGGGAUAAAAGCUUACCAAGCCGACGAUCUGUAGCUGGUCUGAGAGGACGAUCAGCCACACUGGGACUGAGACACGGCCCAGACUCCUACGGGAGGCAGCAGUGGGGAAUUUUGGACAAUGGGCGAAAGCCUGAUCCAGCAAUGCCGCGUGCAGGAUGAAGGCCUUCGGGUUGUAAACUGCUUUUGUACGGAACGAAAAGCCCCGGGUUAAUACCCUGGGGUCAUGACGGUACCGUAAGAAUAAGCACCGGCUAACUACGUGCCAGCAGCCGCAGUAA
Molecule: ribosomal RNA, 498 nt
Filed under: uncultured bacterium
Lineage: Bacteria
Description: partial 16S ribosomal RNA
Rfam family: Bacterial small subunit ribosomal RNA
Source: RNAcentral